Molecule: long non-coding RNA, 820 nt
Organism: Neopelma chrysocephalum (saffron-crested tyrant-manakin)
Lineage: Eukaryota; Metazoa; Chordata; Aves; Passeriformes; Pipridae
Exons: 3
Source: RefSeq, a predicted model, not a curated record
UGAAAACAAGGCUGAAAUAUGAGAGUGAGUGAGCUGUGAUGUGAACUGAUAGCUGGGCAACAGUGAGGAGCUAUUGCUACUCCUAAAAUGAAAUGUGUAGAAUUGGUAAGAAGUGUUCAGAGGUGAACAAUGGUAUGUGGACAAGAAGUCCCGUGGCAUUUCCAAACCAGAUGUCUCUUUCAAGAAAAUAUUUUGGAGAACGACUGCAUUUCAAAGGAAGUGAUUGCCUUAAGCGCAGACUUGCCAGACCUGUCUGGUCCCAUCCUCUGCUGGGAAUGCUGCUCCAAGGACGUGCAUAACCUGAGCUUUCUGGAUACACACAGACUGGUUUGCAUGCAGAAACCAAGCAGAAAACCUGAGCCAUUUGAGUCACCACACAAAUGUGUAACGAAAUUAUAACCACGGAAUGAAACAGGAAUAAACUGUGCUAAUCUGUCUUUCAGUCGUAGUGGAAUGGCAAUAAAUACAGCUACAAAACCUUAUACUUUCUGCCCACCCGAAUAAUAAAAGUUCCUGUAUUUAUACAUGCAAUUUAUUUACUCAAUACCUGCAGUGUGCAUUUUUACAAGGGCUCGCACUGAAGUAUUCUGGGGGAAAAAAAAAUAUCAACAAACCUAAUCUAGAAAAGAAGUAUUAAAUAUCAUUUGAAUACAACCUAAUUACAAAAUGAAGAAAAAGAAUCUAAAGAUUACAGGAAGAAGUUGAGGUCCAAACCCUGGAAAACCUUAUCUUAUCAAAACCUUAAUUGAAUAAAAAAAUUGCUGGCAUGACUUUUCCCGUAUGCUUCUUUGAAAAUUACAGAUGAGAUAAAAAUGAAAAC